Molecule: ribosomal RNA, 1521 nt
Filed under: Shigella flexneri
Lineage: Bacteria; Pseudomonadati; Pseudomonadota; Gammaproteobacteria; Enterobacterales; Enterobacteriaceae
Description: bacterial SSU rRNA
Rfam family: Bacterial small subunit ribosomal RNA
Source: RNAcentral
CGCUGGCGGCAGGCCUAACACAUGCAAGUCGAACGGUAACAGGAAGCAGCUUGCUGUUUCGCUGACGAGUGGCGGACGGGUGAGUAAUGUCUGGGAAACUGCCUGAUGGAGGGGGAUAACUACUGGAAACGGUAGCUAAUACCGCAUAACGUCGCAAGACCAAAGAGGGGGACCUUCGGGCCUCUUGCCAUCGGAUGUGCCCAGAUGGGAUUAGCUAGUAGGUGGGGUAACGGCUCACCUAGGCGACGAUCCCUAGCUGGUCUGAGAGGAUGACCAGCCACACUGGAACUGAGACACGGUCCAGACUCCUACGGGAGGCAGCAGUGGGGAAUAUUGCACAAUGGGCGCAAGCCUGAUGCAGCCAUGCCGCGUGUAUGAAGAAGGCCUUCGGGUUGUAAAGUACUUUCAGCGGGGAGGAAGGGAGUAAAGUUAAUACCUUUGCUCAUUGACGUUACCCGCAGAAGAAGCACCGGCUAACUCCGUGCCAGCAGCCGCGGUAAUACGGAGGGUGCAAGCGUUAAUCGGAAUUACUGGGCGUAAAGCGCACGCAGGCGGUUUGUUAAGUCAGAUGUGAAAUCCCCGGGCUCAACCUGGGAACUGCAUCUGAUACUGGCAAGCUUGAGUCUCGUAGAGGGGGGUAGAAUUCCAGGUGUAGCGGUGAAAUGCGUAGAGAUCUGGAGGAAUACCGGUGGCGAAGGCGGCCCCCUGGACGAAGACUGACGCUCAGGUGCGAAAGCGUGGGGAGCAAACAGGAUUAGAUACCCUGGUAGUCCACGCCGUAAACGAUGUCGACUUGGAGGUUGUGCCCUUGAGGCGUGGCUUCCGGAGCUAACGCGUUAAGUCGACCGCCUGGGGAGUACGGCCGCAAGGUUAAAACUCAAAUGAAUUGACGGGGGCCCGCACAAGCGGUGGAGCAUGUGGUUUAAUUCGAUGCAACGCGAAGAACCUUACCUGGUCUUGACAUCCACGGAAGUUUUCAGAGAUGAGAAUGUGCCUUCGGGAACCGUGAGACAGGUGCUGCAUGGCUGUCGUCAGCUCGUGUUGUGAAAUGUUGGGUUAAGUCCCGCAACGAGCGCAACCCUUAUCCUUUGUUGCCAGCGGUCCGGCCGGGAACUCAAAGGAGACUGCCAGUGAUAAACUGGAGGAAGGUGGGGAUGACGUCAAGUCAUCAUGGCCCUUACGACCAGGGCUACACACGUGCUACAAUGGCGCAUACAAAGAGAAGCGACCUCGCGAGAGCAAGCGGACCUCAUAAAGUGCGUCGUAGUCCGGAUUGGAGUCUGCAACUCGACUCCAUGAAGUCGGAAUCGCUAGUAAUCGUGGAUCAGAAUGCCACGGUGAAUACGUUCCCGGGCCUUGUACACACCGCCCGUCACACCAUGGGAGUGGGUUGCAAAAGAAGUAGGUAGCUUAACCUUCGGGAGGGCGCUUACCACUUUGUGAUUCAUGACUGGGGUGAAGUCGUAACAAGGUAACCGUAGGGGAACCUGCGGUUGGAUCACCUCCUUACCUUAAAGAAGC